RNAcentral lists this ribosomal RNA (450 nucleotides) under uncultured bacterium. Its description in RNAcentral is "partial 16S ribosomal RNA". It matches the Rfam family "Bacterial small subunit ribosomal RNA", at positions 354 to 796 of the family's 1533-position model. The record is from RNAcentral.
GUGGGGAAUAUUGGACAAUGGGCGAAAGCCUGAUCCAGCCAUGCCGCGUGUGUGAAGAAGGUCUUCGGAUUGUAAAGCACUUUAAGUUGGGAGGAAGGGCAGUAAGUUAAUACCUUGCUGUUUUGACGUUACCAACAGAAUAAGCACCGGCUAACUUCGUGCCAGCAGCCGCGGUAAUACGAAGGGUGCAAGCGUUAAUCGGAAUUACUGGGCGUAAAGCGCGCGUAGGUGGUUCAGCAAGUUGAAGGUAAAAUCCCCGGGCUCAACCUGGGAACUGACUCCAAAACUACUGAGCUAGAGUACGGUAGAGGGUAGUGGAAUUUCCUGUGUAGCGGUGAAAUGCGUAGAUAUAGGAAGGAACACCAGUGGCGAAGGCGACUACCUGGACUGAUACUGACACUGAGGUGCGAAAGCGUGGGGAGCAAACAGGAUUAGAAACCCGGGUAGUCC